This is a long non-coding RNA of Fundulus heteroclitus (mummichog), 1038 nucleotides long. RefSeq lists it as uncharacterized. The record is from RefSeq and is a predicted model, not a curated record. The transcript is spliced from 6 exons. Lineage: Eukaryota; Metazoa; Chordata; Actinopteri; Cyprinodontiformes; Fundulidae.
CUUUUUUAUAGAAUAAAUUAGGAAAGGGAAGCUUUAUGUAGGUCUAGUUAACACGGGAUGCCUAUCCAUGAUGAUAUUUGAAUGGAAAACGCAGCAGAAUCAAACCAUGGUGAUCCACACUCCAAACCAGUUGGUGGCGGUAAUGCACCGUUUCGUUGCGUGCCAACCGCCAGAAAAAUUCAUAAAGAAGAAGAAGAAGAAUCAAACCAUGGCCAUCUGGUGCUGCUGCUCUACAUAUAUUGGAAUUUUUCAUGGAACCAACUAUUGAUGUUUCUUCUCUAUUAAUCCGGAGAAGGGGACAAAAGUGGAACAAACAAAAACAAAACGGCUCCAUGUGAAUCCAAGAGUCCUUACUUUGAUUCAGGACCUCUCAGACCAUGAAUGGCGAGCUAUUUAAAAAGUUGUUCCUUCAAGUGGCCGCGACAGUGAACACCCAUGUUUCUCUAGAUGUUCUUCUAGAAGCAAUGCAGUUGCAUGUUAAUCAAGCCUUUACCAUGAUUCACAAGCUCUCCAUGAAUGGCGAGCUAUUUAAAAAGUUGUUCCUUCAAGUGGCCACGACAGUGAACACCCAUGUUUCUAGAUGUUCUUCUGGAAGCAAUGCAGUUGCAUGUUAAUCUAAGCUUCUGUAACUUGAUUCAUGACCUUUUCAACCAUGAAUGGCGAGCUGUUUGAAAAGUUGUUCCUUCAAGUGGCCGCGACAGUGAACACCCAUGUUUCUCUAGAUGUUCUUCUAGAAGCAAUGCAGUUGCAUGUUAAUCAAGCCUUUACCAUGAUUCACAAGCUCUCCAUGAAUGGCGAGCUAUUUAAAAAGGUGUUCCUUCAAAGUGAUUGAGCCGAUGAACACCUAUAUCAUCUUUUUUCGUGGCUCGCUAUUAACAAGGUUCACAUUUAUUCACUCACUCACUACCACACCUCACUCAUAAUUCCUCUCUCUCACAAACACAAGUGCAACCACACACACACACACACACACACACACUUUAAUGAUCUCUUUCUCAUUAUUUUUUCAACAAUAAAUUUGCAUUAUUGUGAAUUGUA